Molecule: transfer RNA, 508 nt
Filed under: Pseudomonas putida
Lineage: Bacteria; Pseudomonadati; Pseudomonadota; Gammaproteobacteria; Pseudomonadales; Pseudomonadaceae
Rfam family: tRNA (bases 88-161)
Source: RNAcentral
AUCGACGACAUCAGCCUGCUGAUGAGCUCCCACACGAAUUGCUUGAUUCACUUGUAUAAAGACGAUGCUGUAACGCGACCCUGUUGUAGGUCUGUAGCUCAGUUGGUUAGAGCGCACCCCUGAUAAGGGUGAGGUCGGCAGUUCAAAUCUGCCCAGACCUACCAUUACACGGUUUAGCCGUAGAAUACGGGGCCAUAGCUCAGCUGGGAGAGCGCCUGCCUUGCACGCAGGAGGUCAGCGGUUCGAUCCCGCUUGGCUCCACCACUUUCGCCGUACGCAGUAGCUUGUCAGAACUUAGAAAUGAACAUUCGUUGAUGAAUGUUGAUUUCUGACUUUUGUCAGAUCGUUCUUUAAAAAUUCGGAUAUGUGAUAGAAAUAGACUGAACACCAGUUUCACUGCUGGUGGAUCAGGCUAAGGUAAAAUUUGUGAGUUCUGCUCGAAAGAGCAACGUGCGAAUUUUCGGCGAAUGUCGUCUUCACAGUAUAACCAGAUUGCUUGGGGUUAUAU